RNAcentral lists this ribosomal RNA (504 nucleotides) under Shewanella sp. EBKC3. RNAcentral's name for it is "bacterial SSU rRNA". It matches the Rfam family "Bacterial small subunit ribosomal RNA", at positions 380 to 876 of the family's 1533-position model. Lineage: Bacteria; Pseudomonadati; Pseudomonadota; Gammaproteobacteria; Alteromonadales; Shewanellaceae. The record is from RNAcentral.
AGCCUGAUGCAGCCAUGCCGCGUGUGUGAAGAAGGCCUUCGGGUUGUAAAGCACUUUCAGUAGGGAGGAAAGGGUAUUGCUUAAUACGCAAUAUCUGUGACGUUACCUACAGAAGAAGGACCGGCUAACUCCGUGCCAGCAGCCGCGGUAAUACGGAGGGUCCGAGCGUUAAUCGGAAUUACUGGGCGUAAAGCGUGCGCAGGCGGUUUGUUAAGCCAGAUGUGAAAUCCCCGGGCUCAACCUGGGAAUUGCAUUUGGAACUGGCGAACUAGAGUCUUGUAGAGGGGGGUAGAAUUCCAGGUGUAGCGGUGAAAUGCGUAGAGAUCUGGAGGAAUACCGGUGGCGAAGGCGGCCCCCUGGACAAAGACUGACGCUCAUGCACGAAAGCGUGGGGAGCAAACAGGAUUAGAUACCCUGGUAGUCCACGCGGUAAACGAUGUCUACUCGGAGUUUGGUGCCUUGAGCACUGGGCUCUCAAGCUAACGCAUUAAGUAGACCGCCUGG